This 497-nucleotide ribosomal RNA is filed under the name uncultured bacterium. RNAcentral describes it as "partial 16S ribosomal RNA". It matches the Rfam family "Bacterial small subunit ribosomal RNA", at positions 28 to 507 of the family's 1533-position model. The record is from RNAcentral.
GAUGAACGCUGGCGGCGUGCCUAAUACAUGCAAGUCGAGCGAACGGACGAGAAGCUUGCUUCUCUGAUGUUAGCGGCGGACGGGUGAGUAACACGUGGAUAACCUACCUAUAAGACUGGGAUAACUUCGGGAAACCGGAGCUAAUACCGGAUAAUAUUUUGAACCGCAUGGUUCAAAAGUGAAAGACGGUCUUGCUGUCACUUAUAGAUGGAUCCGCGCUGCAUUAGCUAGUUGGUAAGGUAACGGCUUACCAAGGCAACGAUGCAUAGCCUACCUGAGAGGGUGAUCGGCCACACUGGAACUGAGACACGGUCCAGACUCCUACGGGAGGCAGCAGUAGGGAAUCUUCCGCAAUGGGCGAAAGCCUGACGGAGCAACGCCGCGUGAGUGAUGAAGGUCUUCGGAUCGUAAAACUCUGUUAUUAGGGAAGAACAUAUGUGUAAGUAACUGUGCACAUCUUGACGGUACCUAAUCAGAAAGCCGCGGCUAACUACGUG